This 406-nucleotide ribosomal RNA is filed under the name uncultured bacterium. RNAcentral's name for it is "partial 16S ribosomal RNA". It matches the Rfam family "Bacterial small subunit ribosomal RNA", at positions 30 to 526 of the family's 1533-position model. The record is from RNAcentral.
AUUGAACGCUGGCGGCAGGCCUAACACAUGCAAGUCGAACGAGUGGAGGACGGGUGAGUAAUGUCUGGGAAACUGCCUGAUGGAGGGGGAUAACUACUGGAAACGGUAGCUAAUACCGCAUACUCACAGAUGAGCCUAGGUCGGAUUAGCUAGUUGGUGGGGUAAAGGCCUACCAAGGCGACGAUCCGUAACUGGUCUGAGAGGAUGAUCAGCCACACUGGAACUGAGACACGGUCCAGACUCCUACGGGAGGCAGCAGUGGGGAAUAUUGGACAAUGGGCGAAAGCCUGAUCCAGCCAUGCCGCGUGUGUGAAGAAGGUCUUCGGAUUGUAAAGCACUUUAAGUUGGGAGGCGUUACCAGCAGAAGAAGCACCGGCUAACUCCGGGCCAGCAGCCGCGGUAAUUC